This 434-nucleotide ribosomal RNA is filed under the name uncultured bacterium. Its description in RNAcentral is "bacterial SSU rRNA". It matches the Rfam family "Bacterial small subunit ribosomal RNA", at positions 957 to 1391 of the family's 1533-position model. The record is from RNAcentral.
GAACGCGAAGAACCUUACCAAGGCUUGACAUGCACGGCGGCACUGCAGAGAUGUGGUGGCAUUUAGUUGGUCGUGUGCAGGUGGUGCAUGGUUGUCGUCAGCUCGUGUCGUGAGAUGUUGGGUUAAGUCCCGCAACGAGCGCAACCCUUGCCCUAUGUUGCCAGCACGUGAUGGUGGGGACUCGUGGGGGACUGCCGGGGUUAACUCGGAGGAAGGUGGGGAUGACGUCAAAUCAUCAUGCCCUUAUGUCUUGGGCUUCACGCAUGCUACAAUGGUUGGUACAGAGGGUUGCGAAAUCGUGAGGUGGAGCGAAUCCCUUAAAGCCAGUCUCAGUUCGGAUUGGGGUCUGCAACUCGACCCCAUGAAGGUGGAGUCGCUAGUAAUCGCAGAUCAGCAACGCUGCGGUGAAUACGUUCUCGGGUCUUGUACACACC